AUUGAACGCUGGCGGCAGGCCUAACACAUGCAAGUCGAGCGAGCGGCGGACGGGUGAGUAAUGUAUGGGGACUGCCCGUUAGAGGGGGAUAACUACUGGAUACGGUAGCUAAUAUAGCAUAUUAUCUGAUUACCCAUAUGGGAUUAGUUAGUAGGUGGGGUAAUGGCUCACCUAGGCGACGAUCCCUAGCUGGUCUGAGAGGAUGAUCAGCCACACUGGGACUGAGACACGGCCCAGACGCAUACGGAGGCAGCAGUGGGGAAGAUGGCAGAAUGGGCGCAAACCUGAUGCAGCCAGGCCGCGAGUAUGAAGAAGGACCUAGGGGUGUAAAAUACUUUCAGUCGGGAGGCGGUACCGACAGAAGAAGCACCGGCUAACUCCGUGCCAGCAGCCGCGGUAAUUC
RNAcentral lists this ribosomal RNA (403 nucleotides) under uncultured bacterium. RNAcentral's name for it is "partial 16S ribosomal RNA". It matches the Rfam family "Bacterial small subunit ribosomal RNA", at positions 30 to 526 of the family's 1533-position model. The record is from RNAcentral.